This is a long non-coding RNA of Chenopodium quinoa (quinoa), 951 nucleotides long. RefSeq lists it as uncharacterized. NCBI's taxonomy places the organism in Eukaryota, Viridiplantae, Streptophyta, Magnoliopsida, Caryophyllales, Amaranthaceae. The transcript is spliced from 3 exons. The record is from RefSeq and is a predicted model, not a curated record.
CUACAAAACUUGGAAAAAAGAUCCAAAUGAUAGACCCGUAAUUUAACUAACGGGUCUAUUUGAUGUAAAAGACCCAAUUUUAAUUAUAACGGCUCUCUUAUGUAUAUUAGAAAAAAAAAGUAAAAAAUAAGAGACCUGUUACCAAACCUAACGGGUCUCUUCAUUAUAUUAGGUCCCAUAUUUCUGAUAAGAGAAGAAAAUCCCUUCAUUUCUAAUAGAUCCACCUUCAUUUGACGGGUCACUUACAUGGUACUUUUACUUUCUUUUAAUUAUUAUUAAAUCCCUUCAAAGUUCAAACUCAUUCUCCUCUCUCUCUCUCUCUCUUCAAAACCUCCGCCCAACCCUAAUGAUGCCGCCGACAGUUCUUAGCUUUUUCCCUUCUAGUCUUUUAACUUCAUUUUUAUAUAGUUUUUUUUUUCUAUUUCUCCUCAAAUCACCAUUUUUGUUGUCCUAAAUACUUUCAAAUCCUCCAUUGAAAUCGUCGCAACUUCUUCGUUUUCCUUGGAUCGAAUCAUUAUACCUUCAAAUUCAAGGUUUUCUUUUCACUAAUUCGAUUUAGGCUUUCGCUGAUUCAAUUCGUCGAUCACAUAUUCUCCAGUUGAUGGUGUUCUUCUCCCCCCUGUCUAGUUGAAUUCUUCUCUCCUUCCUCCGAUCCACAACGGUCUGAUAACCAUACCUUGGCGUGGUUCGAGUGUUCAUGUUCUUGUUGCUGCUAGUUAGUUUUUCAGAUUUGCUUCAUUCAUCAGAUCACACUUUAUUCUCAACGGAGAUAAGAAAUGGAGUAUUAAACCCUUAUUAAUGUACUACAUAUUAUUGUAAAUUUAUUUUUGUUGCAGUUUUAUAUAUUGGAUGAUCUUUUGAUAUCAUUCACAUCAAUUUUACGUCAUGUAAUAAUUUAUGUAAGUCUCAAUAAAUUCAAUCUUAAAUUACAAUAUAUGAAUUUUUUGCUAA